GACGAACGCUGGCGGCGUGCUUAACACAUGCAAGUCGAACGGUAAGGCCCUUCGGGGUACACGAGUGGCGAACGGGUGAGUGACACGUGGGUGAUCUGCCCUGCACUUCGGGAUAAGCCUGGGAAACUGGGUCUAAUACCGGAUAGGACCACUGCCUGCAUGGGUGGUGGUGGAAAGCUUUUGCGGUGUGGGAUGGGCCCGCGGCCUAUCAGCUUGUUGGUGGGGUGAGGGCCUACCAAGGCGACGACGGGUAGCCGGCCGGAGAGGGUGACCGCCCACACUGGGACUGAGAUACGGCCCAUACUCUUGCGGGAGACAGCAGUGGGGAAUAUUGCACCAUGGGCUGAAGCCUGAUCCAGCAACGCCGCGUGAGGGAUGACGGCCUUCGGGUUGUAAACCUCUUUCACCAUUGACGAAGCUGCAUCUUUUUGGGUGUGGUGACGGUAGGUGGGGAAGAAGCACCGGCCAACUACGUGCCAGCCGCCGCAGUAA
RNAcentral lists this ribosomal RNA (492 nucleotides) under uncultured bacterium. RNAcentral's name for it is "partial 16S ribosomal RNA". It matches the Rfam family "Bacterial small subunit ribosomal RNA", at positions 28 to 523 of the family's 1533-position model. The record is from RNAcentral.